AUGCAGCAGUCGCGAAAACUCUGCAAUACGCGAAAGCGUGACAGGGCUACCCCGAGUGUCGUCCGCUGAGGACGACUUUUCCACGCUGUAAGGAGGCGUGGGAAUAAGGAGAGGGCAAGUCUGGUGUCAGCCGCCGCGGUAAUACCAGCUCUCCGAGUGGUAGGGACGUUUAUUGGGCUUAAAGCGUCCGUAGCCGGCUCAACAAGUCUCCCGUUAAAUCCAGCGAUUCAAUCGUUGGACUGCGGGAGAUACUGUUAGGCUAGGGGGCGGGAGAAGCCGACGGUAUUUCCGGGGUAGGGGUAAAAUCCUAUAAUCCCGGGAGGACCACCAGUGGCGAAGGCUGUUGGCUAGAACACGCCCGACGGUGAGGGAUGAAAGCUGGGGGAGCGAACCGGAUUAGAUACCCGGGUAGUCC
Molecule: ribosomal RNA, 415 nt
Filed under: uncultured crenarchaeote
Lineage: Archaea; Thermoproteati; Thermoproteota
Description: partial 16S ribosomal RNA
Rfam family: Archaeal small subunit ribosomal RNA
Source: RNAcentral